RNAcentral lists this ribosomal RNA (458 nucleotides) under uncultured bacterium. RNAcentral describes it as "bacterial SSU rRNA". It matches the Rfam family "Bacterial small subunit ribosomal RNA", at positions 29 to 510 of the family's 1533-position model. The record is from RNAcentral.
AACGAACGCUGGCGGCAGGCCUAACACAUGCAAGUCGAGCGCCCAGCAAUGGGAGCGGCAGACGGGUGAGUAACGCGUGGGAACCUUCCCAAUGGUACGGAAUAGCUCAGGGAAACUUGAGGUAAUACCGAAUAAGCCCGAAAGGGGAAAGAUUUAUCGCCAUUGGAUGGGCCCGCGUAGGAUUAGCUAGUUGGUGAGGUAAUGGCUCACCAAGGCGACGAUCCUUAGCUGGUUUGAGAGAAUGACCAGCCACACUGGGACUGAGACACGGCCCAGACUCCUACGGGAGGCAGCAGUGGGGAAUAUUGGACAAUGGGCGCAAGCCUGAUCCAGCGAUGCCGCGUGUGUGAAGAAGGCCUGCGGGUUGUAAAGCACUUUCAGUAGGGAAGAAAGACCGAGUGCUAAUAUCACUCGUCUUGACGUUACUUACAGAAGAAGCACCGGCUAACUCCGUGCCA